Molecule: long non-coding RNA, 800 nt
Filed under: Malus domestica (apple)
Lineage: Eukaryota; Viridiplantae; Streptophyta; Magnoliopsida; Rosales; Rosaceae
Description: long non-coding RNA (MDOM_LNC016667)
Source: RNAcentral
AGUGAUGUGUUAUGUAAAUCUCAGGGAUCAUUUUAGCUAAAAAGCCCAAUAUAUAACCUACCCACAAGGAAAAUUGUCCCAUAAUUUUUCCUUCUUUGGUACCCAAUAAUUUCAUGUAUGCCACUCUGUGUUUAAUAUAUAUUUACUUUCAAAUGCAAUUCCAAAAAUCAGUUAAACCAUUUUUAGCAAUGUUAAUGAUAACAAAGCCUUGCAUGUCAUCUAAUAUCUUACUAGAUAGGAUGUUGGGUUUUCACCUAUGCAUUACAAAUCUGAUACUCCCUCAUCCCUUAAAUUAUUACAAAUGUUUUGAACCCUCCCUUUUUCAUAAUAAUAAUAAUAAAAAUUACAAAAAUAAUAAUAAAGUCUUAUCCCAAUAAGUGGGGUCGGCAGUAUGAAUUUUAGAAUGUCAUUGCGCUUAGUUAUGCAUUAAGUCUUCUGUUAACUUCAGGUACUCCAUGUCUUUUAUUAAAGUCUAUUUCCAAGACUUCCUAAGUCUUCCUCUACCCUUUUUGUGAUGAGUCGAUGUCUCUGUCUUAUAAUAGCAUUUUCUAAGAGGAGUAUCUGUAGGUCUUUGUUUUAUAUGUCUAAACCACCUUAACCGAUUUUUUUUAUCUUAUCUUUACUUGCGCCCACUCCUACUUUACCUCGAUUAUCUUCGAUCUCAAUACUAUAUUUUAUCGUGAGCUCACACAUCCAACAAAACAUUCUCAUUCCACCACACUCAAUUUUUUGCACUUGUUGAUGUUUUACCGCCUAACAUUCCGUGCCAUAAAUCAUUUGAUAUUAAAUAAACUUUUUUU